Molecule: ribosomal RNA, 490 nt
Filed under: Aplastodiscus weygoldti (Weygoldt's treefrog)
Lineage: Eukaryota; Metazoa; Chordata; Amphibia; Anura; Hylidae
Description: partial small subunit ribosomal RNA
Rfam family: Bacterial small subunit ribosomal RNA
Source: RNAcentral
GCUUAGCCCUAAACCCUUAAUUACACCCAAAACGCCAGGGUACUACGAGCAAAGCUUAAAACCCAAGGGACUUGACGGUACCCCAUACCCCCUAGAGGAGCCUGUCCUAUAAUCGAUAACCCCCGUUCAACCUCACCAUCUUUAGUUUAUCAGUUUGUAUACCUCCGUCGUCAGCUUACCGCAUGAGUGCCCUAAAGUAAGCUCAUCGUCCUUACCCGUCAACACGUCAGGUCAAGGUGCAGCUAAUAAGAUGGGAAGAGAUGGGCUACACUCUCUAAAAUAGAGUAUACAGAGAACUUAUAUGAAACCCAGUUCAAAGGCGGAUUUAGAAGUAACAGGGGCAAUAGAACCCCUUUUAAUUAGGCCCUGAGGUGUGUACACACCGCCCGUCACCCUCCUCGCAGCUCUCGUAAAAGUAUUUAACAUAUUCCAGCAUCGUAGAGGAGGUAAGUCGUAACAAGGUAAGUGCACCGGAAGGCGCACUUGGAAA